GCAUGAGGCAGGGGAGCUGGGCCAGGCCUGGCGCUGCACUGUCCCUGAGACAGCGCCGGGGCCUACCGGUCACCAUGAGCCUGAGGAGAGCCUGGCUGCAGGCAGCAGGCACCGUCUCACUUGAGACUCCAAGAAAAAACACUGGCACUCCAGUUAAAAUGAUAAUGAGUCCGACUCCACAGACAACUGGCUCAGAGUAUAUGCUGAAGAUCAGCAGAAAUGCCCAAAAUGCCAGGUGUUUGCGUAAGAUCCCUUUGGGUGAACAAGCAAAGCAACUUGCAGAAUAAUUCAACGCUUUUCUAAAAGCAGACAGUGAUUCUCCCUGUAGAAAUGCCAGUCCUGUGGACAUGUAAUGACAUUGCUGCAGCUUAUUAAAUGAAUGAUAUUAUCAGAUGGCCCCAAUGUCUCAGCACUUUAAAAAAAAUUUGGAUGACACAGAAAUGGAUACUUGCCUGCGGGGAUCAACCAACUCUUCUGUUACAUAGUUCAAGAAGUUCCAGCCACUGAAUGCAAAUGACCCUUGAAGGAAGGCUAAUGCUAAAUGCCCCACAGAUGGAGUCAUCCAAAAAUUGAAUGCUUUGCUGGGUGUCAGCUCUUCAUAGUUUCCUGCACAGAAAGCACAAGCAAGAGGUUAAGCCUUCCCCUGAGAGAAGUGCUACCCACCAGAGAUACCAGGAAGGAGCUCAGCGUGGCUGUGAGCAGGGGUGAGGAGGGGAAGGGUCUUGCCCUAAGGGGCGCCCAGCUGCAGACAAGCAGCUGUUGCAGCUUUCCCCUCUGGGUCUCUGCUGCUGGGGCUCUCCCAGCUCGAUGAACUGUGCCUGGUCAGAGCCCAACGUGCCAAGUGAGCCAGGAUUUCUGCCUCCUCACGGGAGACAAUGAACAUUUUCUUUCCCUGAAGCUCCACCUCACUCCUGCCAGCUCUAAUGAAAAGUAUGGCCUGGAAGCUGGUGAGUCGUUUGAGGGAAUCAGUGGACUGUUCUCACAAAGCUGAUAAUCAUCAACCACAAAAUCUGUUAAGUGAAUGACCACUUAGAAGGAUAACACUGCACUCAGUUUCUUUUGCUGUGGUAGAAAUGUUGGUUUGCUCUGAAAUACGUGCAUAAUCUUUGUGGUUUUGUGCGGAAGAUAAAAAUCCCAGUCAGCCCUCUUACGCUGAUUUGCAAGAAACAGUGUGCGCUGGCUGUGAGAUGAUGAAAACAAAUACUAGAAUUCAAUUAACUCUAAUAAUCUUCUCCAACUCUACUGUGCAGUAGCUGCAGUUCUUAGUUCUUUGUGUAUUUUUUUAUGACUCCCCUCACCCUUACCCUUUAAUAUUCUGACCAAUUUAGGGGACUCCGCCAAGGAAAAUAAAAAUAUUAAACAAUCAUACACGUGUACGCUCUGCUUAUUGAUAAGAAUAUCUUGUUCCAUAACUGU
Cygnus olor (mute swan) is the source of this 1416-nucleotide long non-coding RNA. RefSeq lists it as uncharacterized. The transcript is spliced from 7 exons. NCBI's taxonomy places the organism in Eukaryota, Metazoa, Chordata, Aves, Anseriformes, Anatidae. The record is from RefSeq and is a predicted model, not a curated record.